GAGGAGAAAAGAGCAAAAGCCCUAGAAAAGAUGCAAAACGACGUCGCAAAAGCACACAGAAAAGCAGAAGAAAGAAGGGCAUCAGCUGAGUCCAAGAGAGGGACCAAAGUUGCAAAAAUCCUUGAAAUUGCCAAUUUAAUGAGAGCUGUUGGGAGACCACCUGCUAAACGGUCCUUCUUUUAAAAAAAAAAAAAACAACCCUUUAAUCUUCCCUUCAUAUAAUUCCCAUUAUAUAUGCAUACAUAUAUACACAUACACAUACAUAUAUAUGAAUGCAUGUGAGUACCUUCAUCUUUUCAAUUGUAGGGUACCCCUUUUAUGUAAGAGGGCAUGCAAUCAAGAGUUGCACCAAAUGAAAACUAUAUUAUGUGUACAUGCAUGUAUGUAUGUAUGUAUGGGUUCAUGUUUGAGUGUUUUGAAGUGUGAUGGGAUAAUAUUUGAGGAUUUUGUUAAUGGUGAUAUAUGGGGAUGGAACCCCUUUUUUUUAAUGUUGUACAGUUGAAAAUAUAUUAAUUAUCAGCCUUUUUAUUUGGUUUGGUGCUUUAAUUAGUGGCAAUUAUUGUAGUUUUUUUAAAGCUUAAUUAUGAAAAAUUAAAUAUUAAUCACUUUUUGGCUUCAUUUGCUGCUGAUUCAGAUUUGAAUGUUGUUGAAUGUUGCUUUUCUUCUUUCCCCACUUUUUAUUAGUAUUUCUUUUACUUAUUUAACGACUCUCGUAAAUACCAAAGACUUAAUUAACUCGAGAAAAAAAUAUUAUUUAAAUAUAAAAUCUCUUAACAUUUAUAUAAAUAAAAAUACAACAACAUAUAUACAUGAAUUAUCAAAUUUUAUUCCUUGGUAUUAUUUAUAAAAAAAAUACAUAAAAAAGAAUAAGAUAAUUGUCAAUUAAGUCUUAGUUCGAUUGACAUGAGUAUUAUUGCCAAUGCAGGAGGACUUGGAUUCAAAUGUAUUGAAGCACAUUAUACUCCUAUUUAUAAAGUGGGAAAAGGCUAUGACUAGUGUAAUAAGCCUAUUUUGCCCGGCCUGGGCCCAAAUUAGACAAGCAAAUAGAAUAAGUAUUAGAAUAGUUCAAAAUACAAGCCCAAAUUACUUAAAAUCCACUACCUAAAUUCUACAGACUCAAAUAGCCCAAAUCCAUUUAACCCAUUAUACAAUCCAAAACCCAAAGCCCAACAACCAGACCCAAACUAAACAAGCCCAAUGGCCCAAAGUGUUAAGCACUUUCGGAAGACACAUUAACCCUAGGGUUCCCUUGUGCGUCGCAACCCCAUGUGCUGGCUGCAACGUAUCCACCGCUCGAGGUGGCCUUCCUUGCACCAAAUUGGUAAGCCUCUGUGUCCGUUGACUCCACGCAAACCUGCAAACAAGUAAAAAAGGGGACAAAGCAGAAACGAGGCAAAUAAACAACAAAAGCAGUGCAAAAAGAAGUAUAAAUAUAUUGUAUUUUCGGCUAUAAAAGCCCCAAACCAAACUAAUGUAAGAUUACACACAGAGAUAUUAAUCAAAAAAAAUUCGAAGUUCAAAAAAGGGGUGAUUUAUUUUCUGUUAUGUAUUUUAUUUUUUCAGUAUAGCAUAAAACAAAAAACUUACCACUCUCGUUGUGCCGUCGUCGUGAGUGAGCGUUUGUCGUCCUCGAGGAGAAGUAACCCAUCUCUGCCAAAUGAGAGGGCGCGAAAGGGACGCCCUAAGCCGAAACCCUUUUCCUUUGACGCCCUAAGCCGAAACCCUUUUCCUUUCUUUUUUUUUAAAUAUAUAAAAAGUGAAUCACCCUUUGAUCCAGCCUUUUUUAAAAAAUAAUAAUAAUAAUGUAAUUUUUUUACUUCAUCCACGGCAGAGGCUCAGUGGAGCCUGGCCAGAUUCUGGCCCAUGCCUAGAGAGAAAAGGAGGAAUUCCUUUUUUUUUUAAACGCGGAGCAAAGUGAUUUUUUUCUCAAAAAUUUAGCUUUUAUAGCCUUACAAAUCCGGACCAUUUCUGUGCUUUCUAAAAUGCCCCAAAACGACGUGGUUUUGGGGGGCCGACCUGAGACUUAACCUGCGUUGCCAGGAUCCGCGUGUUUUUUCCCUCAAUAGGCUAUUUACGAUACGGGUGCCUCCACUUUUGAAUUCUUUUUCAAUUUGGUCCGAAUUCUUUUAUUUUCCGUCUUUUUAGAUUGUACCAUCUAAUUUUACUUCCUUGUCAAUUUAGACCCUCAAUGGGCCAUAAAGAAGGGUGCGUUUAGCAGGAUUUGGAAUAUUUUCCUGAUUAGUCCCUCUAUCUUUUCGCGCGUCUCACUUUGGUCCUUUAUUUUAUUUUAUUCUUUAAUUUAUUAUGAUUUACCCUUGCAAUUUUAUUUAAAUUUCUAGUCAAUCCCUUGCGCAUUUAACCUUAGCCUCUCAUGAAGUUUUAUUAUUAUUAUUUACUUAUGUAUUUUUUUAUUUAUUAUUACCACUUCCAACUUUCAUGCAUCUUUAUUAUUUAUUCAUUCAUUUAUUAUUUAUUGUUUUACCUUGUAAUUCAUGUUGUUCAUAUUUAUACAUUCUCGCCCAUUAUUUGCAUAUUUUUUUUACUCAUUAUUUAUUUAUAUUUUACAUGUUACUUAUAUUUAUGCUCGUUAUUAAGCAUCUUUCAUUUUUAGUUUAUUUUAAAUUACUUCAUUUAUUUUAUUAAUAUUGUGAUGCGAUUAUUAAUAUUAAUUAUAAUUAUAUUACUAUUAUUAUAGUGUUCCUUAUUUACUUAUUAUUUAUCGUUUUAACCACAUAUCCAUUUUAAAUUGUUUCAUUAUUGCUAUAUUAAACAUUAGGUUUUUGUAUAUUAUGCCCGAGUAAGUUAAAUAUACAUUAAUUUAAAUAUUGCAUUCGUUUUCCUUGCACAAUACAUAAAAAAGGAAAUUUUUAAAGAAAAACCGAGGCAAUGUUCAUUGUUUUUGGAAUUAAGAGAGCGUGUCCUUAACUUACGGGACAUGGCUUCUUUUUAAAAAUCGAAAUAAUUGAAUAAUUAUUUCAAAAUAUAGAAAGCCAAUAUUCAAAUAACGAUCAAAUGGUGUUCAUUCUUGAUUUUGAGGAUUUAAGACAUUGUGCCCUAACUUACGGGAUAUGAUCAUUCCUUCUUGAUUGACUUGAAGUAAACUCCUUUCAUGAAAAUUAACGUUAAUACGAAGAGGAAUUGUAUUUCAAACUCUUUUCAAGUUUUCAACUUUCUACACUAAGACAUUAAUUAAUCAACUAGGUACCAAUAUUGGGCGUCACGAGGGUGCUAAUCCUUCCUCGUGCGUAACCGACUCUCGAACCCGUUUCCUAAACUUCGUAGACCAAAAACCUUCGUUUUAAUAAAUCAAACCGUUUCUUAAAGCGAUCAAAUUACGAGGUGACCCGAUCACACUUCAUAAAAAAAAGAUUGGUGGUGACUUACAUUUUCGUUUUCAAAAUAAAAGUCGACCUUUUAAAUAAAAUGGUUUCGACAAGUAGUUCUAGGUAUUGUGUCAAAAAGAAUAUAUAUUAAUUGGAUGGAAAAGAAGUGACUAAAAAAUGAAAGAUAAGAUGUGAUUUUUGUUUGAUUGUUUUUUCCCCAAGUCUAAUAUAAGGCCAAGUUCUAUAAAUUUUGGGGUAAAAAGCAAAAAUAUGACAUUUUGGGAGAACUUCGAGGCUUUAUUUGCAAAUAAAAACAACGAAAAAUGACGUGUUUCUGCAAAGACUAAAAAUAUUCAUAAAAGGGGCGGUGGGGGAGAACAUUCUACUUCUUUUUCUUCAAGAUAAUAUUUUAAAAUAUCUCACAUUUAACAACUAUUUUUUUAAUGAAUAUUUGACGAUUAUAACACAUCCAUAUUAAUUUAUAUUUUGAUGUAUUAAUAAAAAUAUAUAAAAUUGAUAUUCUGUCAAUUGAUCAGAUAAUGCUACAAUAAAAUAAUAUUAUUUUAUUUAUUGAUAGUAUAUAAUAUAAUUUUAUUUCAACUAGUUAAUACUGUUAAAAUUUGUAUUAAAUUUAUUAGUAUGACAUUUAAAAAAAAUUUGUAGUAAUGUGUUGAGGUUUGUUUUUUCUAUCCGAUGAUUCUUUUUUAUUUAUAACGUAUUGUCUACUUGAUGUGACUUGUUAGAGGGUAAUUAGGUGUUAUAUAUAUAACUCAAGACGAGACAUUUCAUAUUAGAAUUCACAUCUAAAUAUCAUCAUAUGUGUUCGGUGUGUCUCACCUCUCGAUGUUGCGAGGAGUAUUCAUAUGUCUUUCUCUCCUCAUGUUGUCCUUGUAAUGCAUUCCAUUGCGAGGAGUAUUUACAUGUUUGCCUCGUGAGAUCACGUUACAGGUUAAAUUUUGGAUUAUGAGACUUUUUACAAUACAAUGUAAUAAAAAAAUAGUAUUGAAUUUAAAAUUUAAAAGUAAAAAAAAUUAAAUUCUAAAUUUACAAUUACAUUUAUUAUUAUUAUUAUGGGGAAUUGCUUUGAGAACACGUAACUGUGUACUCAGUCCAAAACGUUACGUCCAUCUGUCUUUUUCUUUAUUUCGAUGUCAUAUGAAAAUGAAUGUUUGCUUAAAUUAUUAAUUAAUUAAUUAAUUAAUCAAAGUUGCUUCUAAGUUUAAUUUUCUGAAAAUAUUAACUAACUGUGUAUCAUGUUUGAAAUAUAUAUAUAUUAAAUCAAUUAAAUUUUUUUAUAAAAAUUAAAUCAAUCGAUUUAAUUGUAAUUAUUUUAUUUAUUUGAUUUUGUAUUUUAUGAAAAAUAAGUAGUUUAAAUUGGUUCAAAAAGCAAAAGUUUAUUCAAAAAAUCAACUUUUACUUUAUUAUUUUUUCUCAAUUUUUUUAAAAAGUGAUGAGAUGUGAACCAUAAAUGAAAAUUUUUAACUUUCUAAUAAAUUUAAAAUUAGUGUUUUCAAGUGCACUAAAAUAUAUUAUCCUCUUAUUUAUAGGUUUGGAAGAAAUUACGAGCAAUUCCAAACAUUAUGUCAAAAAAGAACAGAGAGUUUAUAAUAUUUUUUUACCAUUAUCUUUAAAUAAAAUAUUUUUAAUUAUUAAAUUAACCAAAUCAAAAUAGACCCAACUUAAAUGAGAUUUUCCUUUUAAAAAAUCAAGUUAGAAAAAAAAAUCGAUUUUUUUUCUUUUGAGUUAAAAAGAAAAUCUAAGACUUCAAAAUAUGAUAUGUGGGACCAAUAGUCACAAAGUAUAAAUAAAGUUAAACACUUCCUAAAAUAAUAAUAAUAAAUUAAAUAAAGUUAAGCACUUUUAGGUCACAUAAAUAGUGGAGGUUUGGAAAUAAUGGUGAGGAUAUUGGACGGGAUUCAAGAAAGAAGAACUUGUAGCAGGUAUGCUAUGCCAAAAACACAGAUCAUUCCUCUCGAUCAUUCAAACAGGCAUUGCCUUUUAGCUACAAGCACUUAAUUCUUGACACCUCCGCAAUCCUCAACAAUAUUGACAUCUCUAAUUGCAGUUUUUAUAUUUAUGAUGUGCGGGAUCCAUAUAAAUAUGGAAAGCACAGAGCAUACUCUAUUUAACUCUUUUUUUAACUCAUAGGUUAAACCUUUUCUAGAAAGAAAUCUAAAGAGAAAACGAGAGAAUUUUAGAAAGCCAUAUAUAAAAGCACACUGAUAUUUUUAUUAGGUAGGAAACUUCAUCAUUUUACAAGAUAGAAAACAUUUCCUUUUAUAGGUGAGGAGACGGAAGACAACAAAAUAAUUACAGUGCAUAUGGUACGCAAGGAAUAGUAAAUUUCCUGACACAAGGAAUAGUAAUUAUUCCUGACACAUUCCUAAUACUACAAGAUAAAGAUAAAAGAUUCCUAACAUGAAAAAAUAGUAGACCAAUUAAUAGUACAUAACAUGACAAGCUAAUAUAUAACCGUGACUUCAAACAAAAAUAAAAGUAAAAGUAAAAGCUGACAGUAAAAGAUUCUCUUUUAGCUAUUAGCGUUGGAAUGAGGGAAUUGUGCGCUGUCUAGAGAAUUUCACUGUAAUUGUCUUCAUCUUCAGAUUUUUCUUCUUCAAUCUUAUCUUCUUGUUCAUCUUGAAUUUUUAUCUUGUUUAGAUUGAUUUGACUGCAAUAUCAUGGAUAGACUUAAGACCAUUCUGAUGGAUCUGGAAUAUUUUCAUAAUAUUCCCGAAUGGUUUUUAAGAUCUCAUUAUGAUAAGGUUGAUACUGAGCUGGCCAAGUAUCCCAUGGAGCAGUAACAUCUGGAGGAGGCCAUAUCUCAAAUGGUAUUACCUUGUUUAGCUGACAAAGGAAUUUCUGGAUUUCUCGAUAAUGAAUAUCUGAAUUUCAAAUGUCAUCUAAAUAAACCUUGUGAAUCCAUGCAGUAGGAAAGGAUCCUAAUUGAAUUAACCUGCCACAUUACUUAAAAUAUUAAGGUUUAUAAAAGAUAAUUACCAUAUGGCAUUUUUAUUUGUCUAGAUAAGAUUGUUCUACCAUAUUUAGCCAUUGCGUCAGAGGAUGAAACCAGCUCAUGAAAGUAAAGAAAUUCUAGUGUUCUGGUUCAAUAUUUCCUCAUAUAGCUUUCACCAAAUAAUAAUGAAGAUCUGGAAUAAAAAACUGAAUAGCAAUAUGGCAUAAAUGAGUGAGAUACCAUAAAAACCAUUUUAGCUCAUCUGUUUGUUCAACAAAUGAAAACUUGAUUGGGUGUAUAAAUGGAUAAUCUGGAUGUAAACAUCAUAACUUAAGGAUGAGUCCUCCAAAAUCUUUGAAGACUUGAGUCUGAUAUUCAAACAUCAUUUCUUUGCUUUUUUGGUGAAAGGUUUUUUGUUGAACAAUGUUCAUGACUUCUGGUAGAAAUUCUGGGUUACGGUUAGGAGUAACAGGAUAAGAAGUAGGAAAUGUUGAAGAUGAAGAAGAUGGUCUGUACAUCAUCUUGGGUCUAAGCCAAAAGUAGGUUCUUUUGUAAGUCAAUAUUUCAUUUUUGGGUAUAGAAAGGAAAUCAACAAGUCUAUUUUCCUUUCCUUUGAUAUGUUUGACAUCAAAAGAGAAUUUUGAAAACCAUUCAGCCCAUCUAAGGAGCUAAGAAUGUGGCACAGUUUUUUGUUUGAAUUUGAGCAUUUAAGGAAAAGAAGACAUGUCCAUCUCAACAAGAAAAUGAUAUCCUGUAAGAUAGAAUGCAAAUUUUAAAAUACCUUUUUUGACCGCCAAGAUUUCUUUGAAUGUGGAAUGAUAAUUGAUUUCUGCUUCUGAAAAUCUUCCACUUUUGAAUCCACAGAGAUAUCUUUUCCUUCUUUUUCUUCAAAGAGUAUUACACCCCAGUAUUUAUCACUAGCGUCUGUUUGUAAAAUUUUUUUUCCAUCAGAAGGAAUUUGAAGUAGAGGAAAACCUUACGAUACUUCUUUUAGCUUUUGUACAGCUCUUGUCUAAGAGGAUGACCAUGCAGGGGGCUCUUUCUUAAGCAUUUUCCUUAGAGGAUUAAUAUACUUAGAAACCUUAGGAAUAAAGUCUCUAAAGUAAUUAAAAAUCCCUAAGAAUUGUUGUAAAUAUUUUUUAGACAGGUUUUUAUAUGGAAACUUAAGAAGUUUUUGUGAAAUGUAAAGUCCAGGAGAGUAUUGUCCAUCCUUCAGGUUCAUUUCCAGAAAUUCUAUUUCUGAUUUAUUUAUUUGCAUCUUCUUUUCUGAAAGCAUUAUCCCAUAUUUGAGAACAAGGGACUUGAAUUCUUCUAAGAGUUAAGCAUAAGAAUCUUCAUCCGGAGUGAAAAGUAAUAUAUCAUCAAUGUAGAUUAAAUGGCAUGACCUUCCACUAGAAAUAGGCUCCAUAAUAUGUUGGAAGAUUUUUAUUAUCGCCUUCUGAAAUAAUGAUGGGGCAGUUUUUAACCCAAAUGGCAUGACCUUCCACCGGAAAUUUUUGUUGGGAAUACAAAAUCCUGUUUUUGCUCUAUCAUCAAGGUGAAUCCCUAAUUGCCAAAAUCUUACCUUAAGAUUAAACUCGGAGAAGAUUCUUGUUUUAGCCAGACUGGAGAAAAUAGAAUUUCUGUUUGGCAAUGAAAAGUUAUCAUCCUGGAGAAAAUAAUUAAGAGGUUGGUAAUUAAUAACCAAUUUUAAUUUUCCUCUGACUUGCUCUGAUCUUUUAUUCACAUAGAAAGCUUUACACGCCCAUUGGGAAUUUGAUGGUUCAAUCAGAUCCUGUUGUUAAAGUUUCUUGUAUUCUUGUUAUGCCAGCAGCAAAUGAUCUGGAUUCAUUCCUAUAUGACUGGCUUUUGUAGGAUUGAUGUCUUCAUUUUUCUUGAAUGGAAGGGUAAUGAAGAAUUCAGGAUUUUUCCACAAAAGGUUAGGGCAUUUGAGAAGAAAUUUUGAAUGAGAAUUUGCAGAAGAUUUUUCUAUUAGUUCCUAGAUAAUCUAGAAGAUUUUUUCUGUUUGAAUAGAAAAAAUUUUAGGUGUGGAAACAAAGAGUUGAAUAAGUUUUAAAAACGUACUCCAUCAGGAAGAAUUCUUAAACGUUGAGCUUUUGUGUAGAGGUCAAAACCUACACAAUAGUCUGGGAAGAACUGAAUAGUAAUAGGUUUACUGAUCAAAUGGGCAGCAAAAGGAUGAUCUACAGCAGAAUUAAAAUACCUAACAUGUGGCUUCCACCAUUUUGGAGGUAAAACAUCUGGAUUCGUGAUGGUUUUUGCUGCUCGAGUGUCUAUAAAGGCAAUUAUAGUAACGAGUUUACUAUAUUUGUCUAAAUAGACCUUUACAGGAAUAUGGGGAACUAGUAUGACGCUGUCACAAUUUUUCUGGACUUGAACUUGGGUUAGCAUCAUAUGAACAUCUGAGUAAUUUGAUUCUAAAUCUGGAAUCUAAUCAGGAUAAACAUGAAUUGCACAAAUAGUCUUGUCUGAAGGUUCAUCUUCAAUAGAGUAGACAGAUUCUAUAUCAUCUUCCUUUUGGAUUUUGAUUCCUGCUUGUUGAACCAUCUACGCAAUCUUUUUUGCUCAUUUUUUGUUCUUUGGACAAUCUUUUGAGAAGUGUCCUUUUUUAUUACAGAUGUAGCAUCGGUCAGACUUUGUUGUUAAUCUCUAUUUUUUUCUGAGAUAUCUCCAUUGAGGCUUCUUUCUUCUUUUCUAUUUUGUGUUCUUUGGAAAAGAAUAUCUUUUAAAAUGUCUCUUUUUCUUUUAACGGCAGUCAUAUAUCUUAUCUCUUGAGCACUUAUAUUUCAAGUGGGAUUCAUCACAUGCUCGAUCAAUUCUUUUAUCACAAUAGAGAUAAUCCUUGAAUAUCUUUCUUCUGUUACAAAUGUCUUCUAAGGCAAUAAAAACUUCUUUCUGAAUUUCUCUAAUUGUUAAUUGGAGAAUAUUUCUAUUUUGCCUUUGGAGAGCCUGAUUAACUACAACUUGUAAAGGAUCUAGAAUGGAUGAUAAAAUUACUGGCUUCAAAUUUGAAUUGAGAUUUAAGGCACAAAAUAAUUUAGUCAUUAUUUUGAAGUGCCUUGCUAGAUCUCUCCUGUCAUAUGAACAUCAUUUCCUCUUAUGGAAUUCCCUUUUCUUGAAGGUCAAAAUUUCAUCUAGAUUGCCCACAAAGUGAUGAUGGAUAAUUCGUAUUGGCUGAGCAAGAUCCUAAAGAACCAAUAAUUACAUUUGAUCAUGUUGACUAAUUGAAUUCCACCAAUCUCGCAGCAUACCCGUAAAUCUGGAAACAAACUCCAUGAGAAUGUUGUAAUUACUAUCUUCAGUAAGCUUGUGAGUUUCAAGCCAAUAAUAGAACUCUUGAAUCUUAUCUUGUAAUGACCCGAAUUUUACCGUUACCGAAAAAAUAUAUUUUCGGGUCUCCGUUUCUAAAAAAUGGAUUUGUAAAUAUUUAUUAAAAAUAUUUACGAAGUAAAAUGAGUGGUUAAUUAGAGUUUAAUUAAGUGAAUUUAAAUUUAAUUAAGAGUAAUUAAGUAAAAGGACCAAAUUGAAUAAAGUGUGAAAGUUGAAUUAUAGAUUAAAAGAAAAUAAAAAAAGACUAAAAGGGCAAUUAUACAAAAAGUAUAAAUUGAGGCGGUUUAUCGUGAAGAAAAUCUAAGAUUUUUUUUAUGUUUAGUAUAUUAUUAUAUUAUUAUAUAAUAAAGAUACUUUAUGUUUUAAUUAUAUUAUAUUAUAUUAUAUUAUAUUAUAUAUAUAAACUAAAGAAGCAAAUGAAAGGAAAUAGAAACAGAAUGAAACGAAACAGAGAGCAGGGGAGAAAAAGAAAGAAAGAAUGGGAGAAAAGGGAAAAUUGAAGGUUUGAAGCUUUAAGCUUUAAUAGUCAAUGUGGUACCGGAAAUCUCGGCUAAGAAAGGACAAGACAAAGUCAACGGGAGUUAGCUCGAAAAUUACGGUUAAGUAAAGAUAGUACGUUGAAUCAGCAUCUCAAGACGAUCCCGAAUUCAUUAAGGUAAAGUAUGUUGAGUAUUGAUAAUGACAUGUACCCAGGAUGUUUAAUGAGAGUCAUUUAGGUUGUAAAAGUAUUGAUGAAAUGAGUAAAUUAUGGUUGGCAACGGUAUGUAGUAUGAAUUUUGAAAUUUACUAAAAAUUCGUAGUGAUUCUAAAUUAGUCCCGAAUUGAAUUUACUAUUCAUAUUGGACCGCGAGGGCCCAUUAAAGGGACGACAUCUUAAAACUAGGAUGUGUGUGAAUAUUUAUUUUAAUUAAUGACCAAAAUUGGAUUGUACUGACUGGUAAUGUCUCGUAACCCUGUUCCGGUGACAGUAUAGGGUUAUGGGACAUUACAAAUUAGUGGUAUCAGAGCUAUUCAGGUUUAGCCGAUUCUAGAACUAAUUCGAGCUCGAAAUUGAGUCUAGAGGUACAUGCCAUAAUUGAGUCGAAGUUGAGUCGGGAUCGGAUGCUGAUAUAUUUGUUUGGUACUGUUUUAUAGUGAAAAUGUUAGAGGAAAAUAUCGAUGGUAUUGAUUAUGAAAUGUGUACUGAAGACGAAUAGUCUCGUGAAUUAAAUGAAAACUGAAUCAACAACACUGGGUAUAAACUCAAUGGGUAAUUAAUUACUAAAUAAUGACUGAUGAAAUAAUAGAAAAAGAAAUGAUAAAUAAUUAUUUAGAAUUAUAACUGAUGUUCUUCAGUGAGUAGAAAAAAUUGUAUCUGCUACAGUAUCUAUCCCUCCUGUUUCUUACUCGAUUCCCGAGGUGCUUCAAGGUAUAGAGUUUGUCUGAACGGGUAAGUUAUCUGCUGUUAACGAUCUGUACAUUUAUAUAUAUAUAUAUAUAGUGUGGAUGAAUUGAGAAUUACAGUUGAGAAUGAUCUUGAAAGAACUGAAAUCUGGUUAGAGAAUAUUAUCGGGAUUGUAAAUGAAUUGUUCUGUUCACCGAUUAAAUGUUAGAAGGGUAUGAUAUUUCUGUUAAAAGAUUUAGGUUAUCAGUGGUAGAAAAAUUGAUUAUGUUGUGAUUAAGAAAAGGGUUAUUUGGAAUUUUUCUGAGAUGAGUUCUGAAAGAAAUAUAUAUAUAUCAGUCAGAGAUUUCUUGAUCAGAAACAUACAGAAUUCUUGAAGCUUAAACAGGAUCAUAUAACUGCAACUGUGUAUGAAGGGAAUUUGUUUGAUUAAAUAAAUAUAUCAGAGGGUAUAUUCCGAUAGAAACUGUAUGAUACAAAUGGUUUGAAGAUGGUUUAAAUGAAGACAGAAGCUGAAGAAUAUAGAAUAAGGAAUGGAAUAUGUGUUAGACAUGAUUCUCCUGAUUAUUAUCUUAGUGAUUGCUUGAAGAAAAUUGAAAAAAAUAUUAUUCAGAGUUCAAGAUCGAGUAACGUAGUUAACAGAGGUAGGUUACCCUGUAAUCUCAGAAAUACGAGUGAAAGCCGAAGUGUGACAAAUGACUUCACUGUAAAAUCUGGAGAAUGAACAUCAGCCAGGGUAUAUAUUAAUUGUAUAUGAGAAGAUUUAUCUCUACCGGAUGUCAUUACAGGUACUUUAUUCUUUAUCGACACUAAUAUGAUUAUUUUAAAUUGAUCUUGGUUUGACUAUUCCUAUGAUUACAUAAGUUCAGUAUCUAUUAAAGAUUUGUCUGUUGAGUUUGCUGAAAUUUUUGGAUUGAAGCAUUAAAUUUUUCAGAUUAGUAUUUAUGGGCUGAUAAGAUCUGCAUGAACUGUUGAUAAUGAUACUACUGUUUUUUGAUCGAUUUGAUGUUCUUACUGUUUGAUAUAAUCUCAAUAAUGGAAUGGUUAAUUCUGCAUGAUAUGGUGGCAAAUUAUAAGCAGAAGUAUAAUAUGUUGCAAGAUCAGGAUGAUGAAAUGUUUUGUUGAAUCAGAGAAGAUUGAGCUAAUUGUCUAUUGUGAUAUUGAACAUGCCAACACAGAUAUAUGCCGGAAAGGGGUCAUGGUAUUUACCUUGUUUAUGUAUUGAAUAUUAAAAUAUUUAAGUUAAGGUUUAAAUCAAUGGCAAUAGUGCAAGAGAAUUCUAAUGUGUUUCCAAGAGUUGCCCGAACUACUGUUGAUUGAAGAAGUUGAAUGUGCUAUAGACUUUGUAACUGAAAUGAUAGUGAAAAAUAUAUUUGAAAUCAGAGGUUUUCUAAAACUAGUCGGUUAUUACAGAAAGAUAUAGAAUUGGAAUGAUCUGAUAGACGUUAGCAAGGUUCCGAUUAGUUGAAAGCUCAGUUAACUGAAGCACUAGUUCUGGUUCAGUCUGAAAUCCGAUAAAGAAACUUGUGAUUUACAGGAUAGCAGUGUUUUGAUGCCAAAAAAAAAAGAAGUGAAGUAAUGGUUUAUGUUACGAAAUGUUAGAAUCACAUGGGAAGAAUUAUUUGAUACCUGAUUCGGAAGUGGUAGUUAUUGUUCUUGUAUUAAAAGAUCAAGAUAUGAUAAUUAAUUAUCAUCCGAAAAAGACAAAUGAAUGUAUGUAUAUUCAAAAUGAAAGCUUUGUUUUGUGUUAUGAGCUAUGAACAUCUGACUGUUAUCAUUUGAAGAUGGAUCAAUUUUGGUAGAGAUAAAAAAAAUUAAACCGACUUCUUUACAGCAGAUCUGCGAAGCUCAGAAAUGUAGUAAUGAGUUAUCGGUUAAAUAGAUAUAGUAUACAGAUGAUUUCUGAUUAAACAUUUCUGAUUGGAUAUGAUGGUUGUUUGCUAUUUAGAAAUAAAAGCUGAACAGAGGGAUUCAGAACUUAUACAGGAGAAUUUUCAUGAAAUUAUAGUAGUACUAUGUCUAUGCAUUCUAGAAGAAUAAGAUGUACAGUGAUUUGAGACAGAUGUAUUGAAGACUGGGAAAAGAAAAGCAAUACUUUGAAUUUGCAUAUAAAUGUUUAUAUUAGGUACAGAUAUCUUCAGAACUGUUACAACCAGUGGUGAUAUCAAAAUGGAAAUGGGAUAUAAUUGCUAUGAGUUUGAAUUAGAAUUAUCUCUAUUUUUGAAAAAGAAUAUGCGGAGCUGUUUGAUUCGUGAAAUUGAAGAAAAGUACAAGUAAUUCAAAACAGACUGAAAGCAACUUUUGAUAGACAGAAAUUGUAUGUAGAUUUAAAAUGUCGGGAUUUCGAGCAUUCUGCCAGUGAAGCGGUAUUUCUUAAAGUUUCACAUCGGAAUAAAACUUUGAGAUUGGGAUGAAAUAGGGAAAUAGAAUUCUCGUUCAGUUGGGCCAUGUAAAAUUUCGAAAAAAAAAAGUCAGACUGGUAAUAUAUUAUUGGGUUUUACUUCCAAAAUUACAAGAAAUUUAUAGGGAUUAUCAGGAUUUGGUGCUCAAAAGAUGUAAAUCAGAUCUUUUACAUGUUAUAUCGACAAAGGAUAUUGAGAUUUGACGCAAUCUAUUGUAUGAGAAAGAGCCGGUUGAGAUACUAGCCUGAGCGGUAAUGUCAUAAUAUUGAGGAAACAAUACGGGAACCGAAAGAAACAGUGAGAUCACUGAACCCCCACCUCUCUUUUAGGAAAAUUUCGAGGACGAAAUUUCUUAAGGGGGAGAGAAUUGUAAUGACCCGAAUUUUACCGUUACCGAAAAAGUGUAUUUUCGGGUCUCUGUUUCUAAAAAUUGGAUUCGUAAAUAUUUAUUAAAAAUAUUUACGAAGUAAAAUGAGUAGUUAAUUAGAGUUUAAUUAAGUGAAUUUAAAUUUAAUUAAGAGUAAUUAAGUAAAAGGACCAAAUUGAAUAAAGUGUGAAAGUUGAAUUAUAGAUUAAAAGAAAAUAAAAAGGACUAAAAGGGCAAUUAUACAAAAAGUAUAAAUUGAGGCGGUUUAUCGUGAAGAAAAUCUAAGAUUUUUUUUUAUGUUUAGUAUUUUAUUAUAUUAUUAUAUUAUUAUAUAAUAAAGAUACUUUAUGUUUUAAUUAUAUUAUAUUAUAUUAUAUUAUAUAUAUAAACUAAAGAAACAAAUGAAAGGAAAUAGAAACAGAAUGAAACGAAACAGAGAGCAGGGGAGAAAAAGAAAGAAAGAAGGGGAGAAAAGGGAAAAUUGAAGGUUUGAAGCUUUAAGCUUUAAUAGUCAAUGUGGUACCGGAAAUCUCGGCUAAGAAAGGACAAGACAAAGUCAACGGGAGUUAGCUCGAAAAUUACGGUUAAGUAAAGAUAGUACGUUGAAUCAGCAUCCCAAGACGAUCCCGAAUUCAUUAAGAUAAAGUAUGUUGAGUAUUGAUAAUGGCAUGUACCCAGGAUGUUUAAUGAAAGUCAUUUAGGUUGUAAAAGUAUUGAUGAAAUGAGUAAAUUAUGGUUGGCAACGGUAUGUAGUAUGAAUUUUGCAAUUUACUAAAAAUUCGUAGUGAUUCUAAAUUAGUUCCGAAUUGAAUUUACUAUUCAUAUUGGACCGCGAGGGCCCAUGAAAGGGAUGACAUCUUAAAACUAGGAUGUGUGUGAAUAUUUAUUUUAAUUAAUGACCGAAAUUGGACUGUACUGACUGGUAAUGUCUCGUAACCCUGUUCUGGUGACGGUAUAAGGUUAGGGGAGGUUACAAUCUAGCCAUUUUCCUUGUAGAAUAUCAUCGAGAGUAAAAGUGAUUCGUCCAAUGGAGGGUUUUUAUGUAGAACGUUGUUGUGAAGAAGAUGAGUCUAGUACUUCUUCCAUCUCUUCAUCAUCUGAUUGUUUUACCUUUGGAUGCGUUUGUAAUACAUUUGAAAGAUUCACUUCUUCUAAUUGACUUUCUGAUACUGGUUUUGACGAUGAAUUGGAAUCGAAAUAAUAUGUAUCAGAACUGAUUGUUGAUCUUGAAGUUGUAAAGCUGAGAUUUUUGGACUCAUGGCUUCAUUAUAAUUCUUUAAAAAUUUUGUUGAAGGAUUUUGAUCUUGUUGAAUCAUCAGGGAUUUUGAAGCUUGCUUUGGAGGAGGCAAUCUUGGAGGUAACUUGUCCACAAUUGGUCUUUUUCCAAGUUUAAUUUCAUCUUAAUGAGCUUCUUCCUUUUUUUGCUACCUCAAUUCUUCCAACUUCUUUUUGCUUCCUUUUCUCAGCUUUUUAUUUUUUAAUUUCCAGAAACACUUCAUAAGUGCUUGGUUUAGUUUUUUUUGGACAUUUUGGAAAGGAGAUAUGAACUCCUUCUGUUGGAAAGGUGUUUCGUUGUCUGAUGAAAGAAAUAAUUCAACUGUUUCUAAUUUUAGGGAUGGUGCUGGAAAUUUUCCAGUUUCCUAGAGUAUCUUGAUCUGUUCCUUGAGAUUCUCAAUUUUCUCUUUGAGCCAGAUAAGAAAAGAAAUCUUGGCCCGGUGCUGCUGGUUCUUUUGCCAUGUUAUUUAAUCUCUUUUGGAAUAGAUUGAUAAGAUCCUUCACCAUCUUUGUUUUGUCAUCUACCUUAGCUUCAACUGUUGAAAUCUUUGAAUCAAUUUUCUUUAAAGCAUGAUUCUAAGCUAAGGCAUUUUCAUUCUGCCAAUUUAGAGUAGCUUCUACAGCACUUAUCCUUGCAGGUGCACCAGAAAUGUUUGUUUGGAUUUUUUAAGGAAUUUUUGGUGCAUGUGUAAUUUUUCUCAGUGCAUUCAUCAAGGGGUCCAAAAUCCCCGUCAUAUGGUGUUUUUUCAGAGGGUUGUAACAUACAUAUAGUAGGAGUUAGAUUUUGUUCUGGUAAAGGGUUUUUCUGAACCCAUUUAUUGAUCUUUUUAUAACAAGGUUGAGGAAAAGGUUUUGAUUUUUCCUGAGGUUUUGGCUUUUUAGGAGGUUUUUUAUUAGGUGGUUAAUUUGGAGGUGGGAAGUUGUCUGUUUUUGGAAAAGUUUUUUGAACAGGUGGUGGUAAGGCAGCAGAAUAAUCAACAAGAUAAACAAAUUUGCCAUUGUUCUCGCUGAGUGAACCAAUUGUUGGAUCUCCAUUCAUCUACCUUUCAUUAAAUUCUGAUUGGGUGAAUUUAUUCUUAUUUUUCUUCUUUUCCGGUUUUGAAGUUGAAUAGUCCAUACUAUCAAUCCAUGCAUUGAAUCUAUCAUUACAUAGCCGGCAUGGGCAAUCUAGAUCCCAAAGACAAUGUCCUGUCGUUUUAUCUUUAAAGAUCUACAAAGGUUUUCCUUCAAAAGAAAAACUUUGUAAUAGUUUUCUUUCAGAUCCUGGUUCGCAAAGAUUACAGCAGCAUUCUGGAUCACCUUUAUCGUGAUCGAUUGUUGGAUUUCCCAUAGACUGCAUCAUCAGUUGUGUAGGAAAAUAUUGAAGGACCUUUGGGAUCAUGAAGAUGGUAAUGAUCAAACUUUAUUUCAGGGGUCCCAUCUCAUUUGGAUAAUAUCUGACUCUUAGUGGACUGGAUGGGUUGACUAUGCUCGUGAAGCUUUUCAUAGUUUGUAACCCAUUUUUUCGGGAGAAGCUUGAUUAGUUCCUUUCUCGGUAUCUAUCUUGGAAAACAAACACAACGGGGUUGAUCAUUAAUGUUGACACUUAUAAAAAGAGAAUCUCCUGUUCCAUGCUUAGAGAGAUUGAAAGCACGGUCUUGGAUUCUGUAAACAAUCUGGUAAUGCAACGCAGCCACUAUUUCUGAUGGAACUUGAAGACCUCCAACAAUCUGGAUCUGGACUUGAAGAGCUGAAAACAGAUUUGGAUCUGCUAAAGCCAUCGUAAAGUUGGGGAAAAGAGUAACCGUGACAAGGCCAAGAUUUAAAGUGGCUUCAAUAGUAGCAAAGCAUAUUGGUUUUCAAAAUAUCAGGAAUCCAAUAAGGCAAAUCUUGCGACAGUAGGUUUUUCUUCUGUACCAAGGUAAUUUAAGGCAAGACGAAUUGCUCCAAAAUGAAUAUGAAAGUAACCUGCUCGUUGCCAUUCUUUAGGGAAUUCAAGUGGAAUUUCAAGUGUAACAAAUAGCUCUGAGGAAGAAGCAGAAAUAGGAUGACUAUCAAGCCGUCAGGCUUGAAUAUACUCUUUUGCAUGCUUGGGAGUAUUGUGUAUUAAAGUUUUUAUGGACCUAAUGGGAGAGAAAAUGGGUCUUUUUAUAAGUAGAGUAAGGGUUUUCAGUAGGAAGAUCUGUAAGUUAAGCUUUAUCUUCAUCUCUAAGGUAAUUUAUUUCGUACAAAUAAGAAAUUUUCUUAACAGAAUAAGACCUAUAAGGAAAAUUAGGUAAUGAAAUACAAGUUAAAGAAGUAGAGGGUCUUGUGAGCUGAUUAUCAGACAUAAUAAAGGAUAUUCUCUCUUUAGAUUAUCUGGUCGAGACAUAACUUUUGAAUUUUAAGCAAGUUGAACUUGGCUCGGAUACCAAAUAAUGGAGAACAAAAUCUAAUUCCUGCUAUAUGUAUGUUACAACCCUCUGAAAAAACAUCAUAUGACAAGGACUUUCCACCCCUUGAUGAAUACAUUGAGAAAAAUUACACCCAUGCACCAAAAAUUCCUUUAAAAAUCCAAACAGACAUUUCUGGUGCACCUGCAAAGAUAAGUGCUACAGAAGCCACUCUCAAUUGACAGACUGAAAAUGCCUUCGCUCAAAAUCAUGCUUUAAAGAAGAUUGAUUCAAAGAUUUCAGUAGUUGAAGCUAAGGUAGAUGACAAUACGAAGAUGGUGAAUGAUCUUAUGAAUCUGUUACAAAAGAGAUUAAAUGACGUCGCAAAAGAACGAGCAGCACUGGGCCAAGAUUUCUUUUAUCAUCAGGCAUAAAGAGAAAAAGAAAUUCAGAAUCUCAAGGAACAGAUCAAGACACUUCAGGAAACUGGAAAAAUUCCAGCACCAUCCUCAAGAUCAGAAACAGUUGAAUUAUUUCCUUCAAUCAGACAAAGGAACACCCUUCAAGCAAAAGGAGUUCAUAUCUACUUUAAUAUAAUUAUUAAUUAUUAUCGUUAUUUUAAGUUUUUAUUUAAUUCAUUAAUUGUAAAAUUUUUAAACAUGUUCUGGAAACAUAUGUUAAAAAUUAGUUUAAAAAUAAAUAUUAUAAAAUUGAUUAUUUUGCAUAAUUAAAAAUUUUGAAGUAUUAUUAUUAGGGAAUAAGAUAAGCUUGAUUGUGUCACGUGAGAUGUGGGCAUAUUGAAAACCUAAAAAAUAUAUUUUAUAAAAAUAUUAAAAUUAAUUGGUUGUACACGUGGUGCCCGUUUAAUAAAUAUAACGUCAAUGAUUGCAUGGCGGGAACAUAAAUAGCUUGUCUGACGGGACCUGGAGCCUAUGGAUAAAUGACACGUGGGAAUUAAAUAGUAAUUUGUUUAUUACGUGUGACACGUGUGUAUAUUUAUCAAUGGUCUACACGCCUUUACCUACUGUUAGUGGGCUCCUCGUCAAAUCUCUUUUGCUGACACUGAUUAACGUUUAAUUAAACUCAGUAAUUACAUGAAUUUUAAAAGAAAUUAAAAUACUGAGUAUUUUCAAUUAUAUAUAUAAUUAUACAAAUUAUUAUAUAUUUAUUUUUUAAAAACAUUUACCAUAAGCAUGUAAAGUUUGCUAAAUAUUAUUUUAAAAUUUUUUUAUGUAAUAAAAGGUCAACAUAAAUUAUGUUCUAUUUUUAUCAAAUAAAUUCAUUUACAUUUUAACAUAUAUGAGAUUAAAAAUAUAACAAUUUAUGUUUUAAAAAAUAAAAGUAAAAUGAUUUAGUGUAACUUUUUUAUUUAUCAUCAAAUAAUUAUAUUUAAUGCAAGGUUUUUAAUCAAAUUUAAUUUUUUUAUGAAUUUGUUAAAUAUUAGUAAUAAUAAAAAUUAAUUUUUAAAUAUUUACAUUCAAAUAACUAAUCGAAACUAAAAUUAUAUUGAUAAUUAAAUCACAAUUAUAAAUCACAAUUAUAUUGAUAAUUAAAAUAUAUUUAAAAUUAAAUUAAAUCUGAAAAUUUAACCAUGAGGAGAUUAUUUUCAUAGCCAUAAUUAAUAGAACAACUAAUUUUCAUUGGUUAAAUUUCAUCAACCACUUAAUUAAUAAUAUAUGUAAUAAUUUUUUAUCGAUUAAGCUUUAAAUCAGUUAAUAUCGUUAUUGUUGUAACAUGUAAAGACGUAUAAUCAUUUUUUAUUAUUGAAUUAUUGUCAGAGUCAGGAGCUACGGAACGAACUAUUUUAGUAUUAUAAAUAUAUAUAAAUUGUGUUGAUGAAAUUGUUUUAACAAAAUAAUAAUUUGAAAUAAAUAGUAACAAUUACAACUAUUACAUGAUAUAUAUCGGAGGUGCUCAUGGUCAGGUCGAGUCGAGCUAGACCUAAGCAUGAUAUUAAUAUACUUUAUGCUUGUCCAAGUCCUACCCGAAAUAUAGGCCUAAAAUUUUGUCCAAACAUGUCCAUAUUUGCAAAAGAUUAAUCAAAACCCAUCACAACAUACAAAGAAAUAUGAUCGAAACCAUCACAACAUAAAUACACAAAACACAUUUUGAACAUUUUCUAACUCUAACUGUGAAGUUAGUCAAUACAUUAUUGGUCUUAUACUCUCUAUAAUCUCAUAUGACCCGAUAAUUACAGACUCAACUUCCUAGUUACCUUAAAACUCUAGAACAUAGAAAUGGAACAUAUUUUCAAUAUUCUGAAUCACUUUUUAAACUGACCAUCAGUUUGAAACUGAAAUACAAUGCCGAUAAUACAAUCACUUAUUCAGAGCUUCCAGUAGUUUUCUCCAAAUUCACGAUAUAACCCUCGAAUUUUUACCCGAUUAAUAAAGACUAACACUCCUCGCAAUUGGAUAAUCUCUGAAACAUAUACUCAUUCAAUCCAUCAUGGGUCAAUCAAUCAAUAACAGUCCAGGUAAUCUCAAUCUUUUUCAGAGAUAGGGAAAGUCCCGAUAUGAACCUUACAAAAACUUUAUCUCAUUCUACUUCAGUAUUAUCACUGGUUGUAGUAAUCUUAAAAACAUUGUAUAUUUGGCUUAGCCUGUUGAAAAAUCAAAUACCUGAACACGGAUUCAGAAAUGUCGCAUUUCAUAGCUGACUACCAUUACAUCCAUAUCAAAUCACCAUACAUCUUGUUACUUUCUGAAUGAACAGACAAAUUACCGUAAUGAGCUUCGUACCAAAAAAAAAGUUCCCAUAUAGCAAGGGAUUCCUCGGUAAGCAAACUUUUUCUUAGAAUGUGGGUUCGUUUUUAAACUCUGAAUCGGAAGUUGACUUACACUGUACUCAAUUACUUUCAAUUUUCUAAAUGUCAUUAUACAAGAUCAAUUAAGUAAUCAUCGCUCGCAAAGUAAACAAAAACUUCACUACUCAGAGCAUACAUAUCUACAUUUACGCCUCUCAAAGGUUAAUCGAUAGCUACUCACAAUCUUUCAAUAGCUCAAAUCAUCAUUAUUGUCUUAAAUUCAAAUUUUUUUGUUAUAUUCGACACUUUAAACUCUUCGAAUCAGGAAAUAUGUAGCAUUUUUUUUCCAGACUACCCGUCUAUUUACCCAUGAAUACAUAAAAUUUAUUUCCAAACUCGAGGAUCGAUUUACAUGCAUAUAUCUCAAUUUACCUUCCAACUGAAUAACUUGUUUUGAUUAAAACAUCUGAUUCAAUCUUAAUUGUCAAACAAUAGUAACCUUUCAAAACAAUUUCCUCUUCAAGUUGUUAGAACAACUCAAAAACAUAAUCUUUCAUAAUUUCUGUAACAUGCUACUCAAAAAGUUUUACUAACGGCAUUAGCUCAAACAAAACACCACAUCUCGAUUUAUGUCAUUGACCUUAAUCAAUAUUACCUAAGAAAAGAAAAUCAAUAUACAAAUUUAGCUUGAACAGUCACAAUCCACACUUUGUCUAUGUCAAUCUUUUCAAGAAAACUCAAAAAAUUCCUGAUAACACAUUCUUUAGAUAUCAUACCUGGAUGAGUCGAUUGUCCUCUUCUUUAACUGUGGCAUUGCUUAAUUUGAAUGAUUUUUAGAACAAUCUAUCAUCUCUUCCAGAACCAUUUUUACUUGCUAAACCAUUCUUAUCUCUGACCACAUUAUUAAUUGUUCCACUUCUUGAACUUUUUUGUUUCACACUUGUGAACUUAUUCGAUAUAAAUUUCAUAAACUUUAUUAUAUAACACCAUAAUAAUAGGGGGUGAAGAUUAUAAAGCCUCGACUUUUAACUCUUAUAUAUGUACACACAUCUAAAAUAACAUUUAUCAACAACAUAACAUCAUAUAAAUACCAAAAAACAUAGACGCGCUUAUCACAAGAUAAACUUUUAUUUCAUUUUCCUUUUCCCAUAUUUCUCGAUUUAUGAUUAUUUUAUUUCGUACAUCAUCACAUCCAUAUAGUGAACUCUUUUUCAUACCUUUUCAAGUUUCGACUCAUCAUAAACACAUUCUUACUCAGACACCUUAGUGUCACUUUCAACACUUUCUGAAAUAACUCGAUUGAAAAGUAUUUUUGUCUAUAAGUAAAAAAAAUUAGAUCGGAUCAUACACAUCACUCUAUCACAGAUUUAUAUGGCAUGUAUUUCUAAACACUUUACAUAUCUCAUUUGAUCCGAGAAUCGGCUAAACCGAAGCUCUGAUACCAAUAAAUGUAACACCCUCUAUCCGUAUUCGUUGCCGGAAUAGAGUACGAGACAUUACCAAGGAGUACGAAACACUUACAGAUAAUUUAAAUAUAUUUUCAUAACAACUUGUCUCGAUUUCAUACUAUUUCAUAUUUAAGCUUUACUCAACAAAGUAUUUGAAAUAUCAUCUUUAUGCAAAUAGCACACAUGAGGUACAUAAUUCCAUAAUUAUGAAUGAACACAUUUAUCAAACAUAUUCCAUAUUCAUAUAUGAAUGUCUCAUGUCUCCAUAUAUCAAUAACCGUCAUUUUUAUUGUUUUUCAGAUAAAUAUGUGUAACAAUUCAUAAGCAUGCAAUUCACUGUUUCUUCCUGUCAAUCACAAUUUCAAAUGAAAAAUUCAUGUGAAUGAGCUCAACAUCAUUAGCUGUUUAAAUUCUGUCACUUUGAUUCACAUACUCAUAAUUUACUAACAUAACCUAUCAAACACAAUCUCUGAAUGAUGAAAUCACAUAAUUGAGCUCAAUUUCAAUGUUCACUAAAAUUUGUCAUAUAAAUUCAAAUAAUAAUUACCAAAACUUUGUCAAAUUGGAGAACGUCUUACGUUCAUUGGUCUGCACCGGUAUGCACUGAAUUUCAUUGAUAAUCACUGAUGCCAUAACAUAACUAUGGUCUUUUCACUAAAAUGUCAUAGCUCAACUAUGGUCUUACAUCUUCACUAUCAUUAUGCCAUGGUGAAACUAUAGACUUAUCCGUCAAUUCAUCACUUUUUACCAAAAUGCCAUAGCCCAGCUAUGAUCUUACACGGAAAUCACUUGUCACUUGUAACCGAAGCUACCACUAUUCAUUGAUAGGGUAGCCGGAGCUACCACUUCUCACUGAUCAAAUUACUUAUUAUCAAAUUAGGAAAGGUCUUAUGAAAUUGAGUACGUCAUUGCUUAUUGCCACAAUUCACAACUCAGUAUGGUUUUCCUCAUUGAAAUACCAUACCUACAUUUCACAACUCGGUAUGGGAAAUGCCAUACCUACGUUUCACAACUCAGUAUGGUCAAUACCAUACCUAGGUUUCACAACUCGGUAUAGUUAAUACCAUACCUACGUUUCACAACUUAGUAUGGAUGAUACCGUACCUACGUUUCACAACUCAGUAUGGAUGAUACCGUACCUACGUUUCACAACUCAGUAUGAAUGAUACCGUACCUACGUUUCACAACUCAGUAUGGAUGAUACCGUACCUAUGUUUCACAACUCAGUAUGGUUAAUACCAUACUUACGUUUCACAACUCAGUAUGGUUAAUACCAUACCUACGUUUCACACUUUGCCAUGGACCAACCAUGGUCUUUUCCGUCAAUUCAUCUUGUCACUGAACUGAAGUGCUCAAUUUGAUCAUUUAUUCAAUUUUCAUGCUUUUACAUUAUUCACGAUUUUAUCAUCAAUAUAUAUGAAAUAAUACAUCAUGAAAUUCAUAAAAUUAACAAAUGGUCACUAAAAUUUAGUUAUAUAAACUCACAAGUUCGAUUUUUGUAUAUAACGAUAAUCAUAAUUUCAUAAUAAAUAUUCCAAAUAAAACAUUAUAUCAUUUCUAAUUCAACAUUUAUCGAUUAUAAUAGGGCAUGUGAUCAAUUUAUACACAAGUCAUUCAUAUAUAUAUGUUUUUCCUCCUCCUCUCCAUCCCCAUCCUUAGCAUAAAUAACACACUUGUAAGUAACAUUAUCCAUAAUUUUAACUAUUUACUUAUGUGAAUAUUCAAGCUAUCCAUCCAUGUCAUAGUCACUAAAUUAUUUUUAUCUUGAGCUACAGAACUCCAAAUUAAGAUCCACUAAUUUUUUUUGAAACUAGACUCACGUAUCUUCUUACCAUAAAAUUUUCAUAAUUUUUUGUUUAACCAAUAAGUACAGUUUAUUCUUUAAAGUCACCCCCUGUUCUGCUGUCUGACAGUUCCGACCCUUCUUCACUAAAAAUUAAUUAUCUCCUCCUACAAGAUUCGGAUGAUGUCCUUGUUUAUUUCUAUUGAAAAUAGACUAAUUCAGAAUUCUAAACAUAUAAAUUUAAGCCCUGAUUAUUUUUAUCCAAUUUUUUGAUGAUUUUACAAUGUCAGAAAAGGAGAACCCAAAAUCAUACUGACCUUGUCUCAAAAAAUUUAUUAUAUCUCAUGAUUUACAAUUCAAUUGCUUACAUCAUUUCUUCUAUAAGAAACUAGACUCUAUAAUCUUUAUUUUAAUAUUUUAUUCAUCCUCUAAUUCGAUUUCUAUAAUUUUUGGUGAUUUUUCAAAGUUAGACUACUGCUGCUGUCCAAAACUGUUUUAGUGCAAAAUGUUGAUUUCCAUUGUGCCCCAAAUUUCAUAGUUCAUACAAUUCAAUCCUUGCUCAAUUAACCCCUCAAUUGAGCUAAAUUUUAUCAUUUAAUACUUUAUUUUAUCAUUUUAAACUACUUCAUAACCCUUGAAAACCAAAACUUUAGCACUAGACCUUAAUUCCAAACUCUUUCACAAUUAGGUCCUAAAACUAAUUUCCAUCAAAUUUACUUGAUAAAAUCAUCAUAUAUCAAAAUUAAAGCUUCAAUUAUAUGUUUAUUCAUCAUAUUCUUCCAACACUCAUCCAUAUAAACUUAAAAAAUUAGCCAUGGACUCAAAAACUAAUGACAUAGUAAGUUGGACCAAAUUGUAAAAGUCCAAAAUCUUAGAAAUUUCAAGGAGAAAGCAAGAAUUAAACUUACAUGAAGCUAGAGUAUGAAAACCAGCUUGAACCCUCUUCCAUGGCUAUUUUUCAGCUGAUGAAAAUAAAGAAAAAUGAAGAGAAUUCUAGAUAUUCCAAUUUAGUCCCAUUUUUAUUUAGCUAAUUUUGGCAAUUUUCCAAUUUUGCCCUUCUUUCACCCGUUUCCUGAUUUUUCUCAACUAUUGCCGCCCAAAAUAUCUCCUUUGGGCUUAUUUUCACUUUAGGUCCUUCCUCAUUUGACAAUUGGGCUAUUUAAUUCUUUUAGCAACUUUUACACCUUUUUUAAUUUAGUCUUUUUUAUUUAAUUAACCACGCAUACGUCAAAAUUUUCUGACGAAAUUUUAAUACUACCUCACUAAGACUCCAUAAAUAUUUCUAAAAAUAUUUAUGGCUCGGUUUAUGAAUUCGAGGUCUCGAUACCUCAUUCUCGACCCAAUUUACCUAAUUAAUUCUUUUAAAUCACCAAAUUCACUAAUUCAAAAAUACUUCUAUAUUCACAUUUGACUCAUAGGCAUUAAUUUAUUAAAUUUUCAACUCACUCGUCAGAUUUAGUGAUCUAAAAUCUCUAUUCCCGACACCACUGAAAAUUAAGCUGUUACAACGUAUUAUAUUUUUAAAAAAUAUUUAUUUAAUUUUAUUUUAAUGUUAAUAUUUUUUUAUUGAAAAUUUUUACAUAGUCAUCUUAAUAUUAUUUUAAUAUUUAUAUUAGAGUAGUAUUAUAUAUUUAGUAUAGGGUUGUUUUUUUAAUGUGUUACAAAUUAUAUAAUAUAAAGUGUUACAAAUUAUAUAAUAAAACGGGUCGUGUAACAGCCCGAUUUUCAGUGGUGUCGUAAAUAGUAGUUUGAGGCCACCAAAUUCGGCAAGUAAGCUCGUAAAUUUUAUUAUUUAAUUUUACGAGUCAAAUAUUGUUUUAAAAAAGAAUUUUGAAUAAGUAAUUUAUGUUUUAUAAUGAAUUAUUUGGUUCGAGUGGUAAAAUCUUAGGUCAAGUGGUUUUAGAAAAUAAUGUAUCGAGACUUUGUUUUUAUAAACCGAAACGUAAAUAUUUUUAUAUAAAUUUACGAAGUGUCAAUAAGGUGGUUUAAAGUUUCGUUAAGAAAUUUUAACGUUUCGAUGCUUAAUUGAUUAAAGAGGACCAAAUUGAAAAAAAAAAGUCCAUUCCCGAGACUCCCUUCUGGUAAAUCGGAUUCGUAAAUAUUUUUAAUAAAUAUUGACAAAGUUGCGAGUUUAAUUAAGUUUUAGUUAGGUAAAUUAGGUUAAAAUAAGAGAAAUUAGGAAAAAGAACUAAAUUGCAAUAGAGUAAAAGUUUGAUUAUAAAUUAUAGAAAAACUAAAUGGGCUAAAGAGGAAAUUAUGCCUUUUUAUAAAGGUGUGGCGGUUUAUAAGAGAAAUAUCGAAGAUAUUUCUAAUUAAAAUAUAUAUUAUAUUAUAUUAACUUAAUAAAUAAGUAAUUAUAUUAUAUUGUUAUAUAAACAAAUAAAAGAAAGGAAACAAAAGGAAAAUUGAAAUGAAAACAGAGAAGAAACAGGGGAGAAAGAAAGAAAGAAAAAAAGAAAAAAGUAAAUUUGGGGUUGAAGGUUCAAAGUUAAUUUGGUAAGUCAAUUUAAUUCUUUUUCUUGUAAUUUUUGGGUUUUUAGAAACUUAGAACAAUAUAUUAUUGAAUUUAUGUUAAAAAUUUGAAAGUUUGUGGAUUUUUGGAUAUAGUUUAUGUUGAAUUAAUUAAUGAAUUUGGGGUUAAAUUGAUAGAAUUUCAAGUUAGAAUUGGGAGUUAGAAUUGAGAAAAGGAUUUAAUUGUAAAAUAAGUUAUAACUUUUGUUUAACAGGGAAUAAAUUGAGAGAAUUUUGAAAUUAGGGUUUUAUGGAGAAAGGAAAUAAGGAUGUUAUAAAAUUGGUAAUUAAUAUUUUGCAGUAAAACAGUUUUGGACAGCAGCAGUAGGUCAACUUUGAAAAAUAACCAAAAAAUGUGAAAAUCGAAUUAGAGGAUGAAUAAAAUAUAAAAUUAAAAAUUAUUGAGUCUAGUUUUUCAUAGAAGAAGCGGUAUAAGAAAUGGAAUUUUAAAUUAUGAGUUAUAAUAAGUUUUGUUAGACAAGGUCAAAAUGAUUUCGGAAUCCCCUGUUCUGACUUUGGAAAAUCAUCAACAAAUUGUAAAAAAAUAAUAAGGGGCUUAAAUUUAUAUUUUCAAAUCCUUAAUGAGUCUAUUUUCAAUAGAAAUAAAUGGAAACAUCAUCCAAAUUUCAUACUAAGAGAUAAAUAAUUUUUAAUAAGAAAAGGUCGAAGCUGUUAAACAGCAGAAUAGGGUAAGUUUGAAGAUUUUACUGUACUUAUUGGCUAAACCAUAAAUUCUGAAAAUUUUAUGGUAGAAAUAUAUUUGAGUCUAGUUUCAAAAACAUCAAGCGGAUCUUAAUUUGAAAUUCUGUAACUCAAUAUAUAAAUAAUUUAGUGAUAAUGACUCAGGUAGACAGAAGAACAUAUAAGUAAAUAGUGGAACUAUAUAUAUACAUUGAGGAUGUGGAAUGAAGAGGAAUAGUAGAAAAAUAUAUGAACAUUUAACUAACGUGGGUUACAUUAAAAAUGGAUAAUUUUCAAGUUUUACGCUCAAGGAUUAAAUUUAAUAAAAGUAAAACUUUAGCGGUAAUUUUGUAAAAAUGUAAAAAAUGAACAAAUUACAUGAAAUGAAUCAUUUUAUUGUCUAAAUUAAUAUAUUGAAAGAAAUUAUCAAUAUCAAGUGAGUUUAGAGCUUUAAUUUUGUUGUAUAAUGAUAUUAUAAAGUGAUUUUGUUAAAUAUUGAUGUUAGGAUCAAAUUGUGAAAAUUAUGAAAAUUAUGGAUUUAUGUGAAAAUAGGGAGUUGAAUUUAGUUUAAAGUGAAAUUUGCAUAAAAAUAAAUAAUUAAAUGUGAAAAAUAAAAGUUAGUCUCGGUUUAGGGACUAAAUUGGAAUUUAGACAAAUGUUGAGUAAAAAGUUGAAAUAUUUAAUAUGAGAUUGAAUUGUAUUGUAUUGAUAAAUUUAAUUGUUUUAAUUCCAUAGCUAACGUCGUACCGAAAUUCUUGACUAAAAAGGGAAGAAUAAAAUCGACAUCGAAUAGCUCGGAAUUUCUGAUUUGUAUUUCUAUAAUCCGAAUCUAAUUAUUAAUUGUUGUAUUUUGAUUAAAUGUUAUGAUAAGUGAUUAAGGUGAGAAUUAUUGUGUUUUAUAAUUGAAAUGGAUUGAUUUGGCAUGUGAUGAAUUUAUAUUGGUUGAAUUAAAUUGGAAUAUAUAUAUAUUAUGGAUAUAUAUGUGUAAAUGUGAUAUUGUGCAAAUGUGAUAAUUGGAUUACUUUUGAUGUGUAUGAAAUUCAGCUUUAAUACCCAAGUAGACGGAAUUUAGAACUAUUAGGAUAUAGUGGCAUGCCAUUAAGGAACCCUAGCGCGCUCUCUGAUUAUUAGCAUGUUAGUGCUCUUUGAUUAGCACAGCACAUCUGUGCUCUCUGUUUAAUAGUGCAUAAUAAUGCACCUCUGUGUUUGUUCCGUAUAUCUGGCUUUAAGAUAAUUUAUUUCAUACAAAUAAGAAAUUUUAUUAACAGAAUAAGACCUAUAAGGAAAACAAGGUAAUGAAAUAGAUGUUGGAGAAGUAAAGGGUCUUAUGAGCUAAUUAUCGGGCAUAAUGAAGGAUAUUCUCUCUUUAGAUUAUAUGGUCGAGGCAUAACUUAUGAGUUUUAAGCAAGUUGAACCUGGCUCGGAUACCAAAUAAUGGUGAACAAAAUCUAAUUCCUGCUAUAUGUAUGUUACAACCCUCUGAAAAAACAUCAUAUGACAAAGAUUUUCCACCCCUUAAUGAAUACAUUGAGAAAAAUUGCACCCAUGCACCAAAAAUUCCUUCAAAAAUCCAAACAGACAUUUCUGGUACACCUGCAAAGAUAAGUGCUGCAGAAGCCACUCUCAAUUGGCAGACUGAAAAUGCCUUAGCUCAGAAUCAUGCUCUAAAGAAGAUUGAUUCAAAGAUUUCAGCAGUUGAAGCUAAUGUAGAUGACAAUACAAAGAUGGUGAAUGUAACACCCUUAACCCGUACCCGUCGCCGGAGGGUUAAGGAGUAAUACCAAACAAGCACGAAAUUUCAUUUAACUUUAUUCCGAUAAUUCCCGUUGGCAUACUUAUAGAACCGAAUUCCAACUUGUAUUUAUUUUAUUUUAUUUUAUUUUAUAUAUACCAUAUACAAAAGAGUCAUCUCAAGUUAAUAAGUACAUUGAUUCAUUCUUAAGUUUAAUUCACAUCAAAACAUGGAAAACAUUAAUCGAAUAUCAACCACACAUUCACAUUAAUUAUGUGGAACACAUAUAGUAACUUAACAAGCCAUUUUCGCAUGGCUAUACAUAUAUACAUCAUCAAAAAGAUACUUAUUUAACAACAAAAAGUCAAACCUAUACAUGCCAUUAUUAAAGUUCAGCUACUAGAGUACCGAAUGGGUUAAGAUAGUGUGGAUGACUUCAACUUUGGGAUUCCCGAAACCGAAGCUAACAAGCGAGAUCUAUAAAACAGAGAAUUAAGGGCAACAGAGUAAGCAUUUCUAUGCUUAGUAAGCUUUAAGCAAAUACAAACAAUUAAAACUUGUCAUUUAAACGAGCAUUUAGUAUCACAAAAAUAAUAUUCUAAUUAGUUAUCACUUGGCCGAGUAUAUGUGUAUAAAUCCAUGAAUACACAAAGAAAUUUCAGCAUGUACUUUACUUUACUUCAUAGCUCAUACAAUUUCUUUUUUUAAGUCACAGACUUUCAUAUAAUGUCAGACAUUGACCGAAUAAAUCAUGCUCUUAGUCGUAGAUAUAGUAAUCAUUCACACGCAUAUAUCGUUCCUUGAUACUAAUAAAUCACCUUAAAAAUCUAUUCACAUGUGAGUACAUGAUGCGUACCUGGCUAUCAUGAGAUAUCAUACAUAAUCACUUGUAGUUUAACUCGAACCUUCAAAUUCAUAAUUUUACUUAAAUCACCGGCGUUAAGCCUGCUAGGUUUAAAACCUGAGUCCAGUCACUAGCACAAAGCCUUCGGGACUUUAAGCCCAGAUAUAUUCCCAGCACGUAGCCUACGGACCUUAAGUCCGGAUAUAAUUCCUGCAUAUAGCCUGCGAACUUUAAGUCCAGAUAUAAUUCUCAAAUAUCAUGCAUGUUUAAUUGUAUAAUAAUACCUCAUCCAACAUAUCACAUUAGUAGUCAUUUCCACAUUCAGAAUUAAGCUCUAUAUGAACACUAUCAUUUACAUUACAGUUCAAACAUCAUAGAUAAAUCUCACAUGUCCAUUUCACCAUUCAAACUUACCCUAUAGUGACCAUUCAUUUAUAAUACAUAUAAAUAGGUUAUUUAUCAUACUACUUAAUUCAAGUAAAACCAAAAGAUCCCAAUCCAUCCAAUUUACAUGUAUCAAGGCAUCAUCUAGUAUAUACUAAAGGUGACUACUCAAAACUUACCUCGGAUAUACUUGAACGGUUGCGAAAUGGCUACUCGAUUACUUUCUCUUUUCCCUUAUCCGAAAUUGUCCCCCUACGCUCUUGAGCUUUAAUUCAACAAAUUUUAAACUAGUCAUUAUUCGACUAUUCAAGUAUUACUUUCAGAAUAUAAUACAUAUAUAUUCGACUUUCACAUAUACAGAUUAUAGUAAGCUUAUAAGAAAUCAAUAAGCAAUUCAUUAGCAAAUUUUUUUAUCAAUGUUUACAAAAUAAUCACAAUUUCACUAUAAGCUGACUUCCUGAACAACAGUCACUAAAUUAUUUAUAACUGGAGCUACGAAACUCCAAAUCAAUUGCCGUAAAUUUUAUUUGAAAGUAUACUCAUUUAUAUUUUAUCCAUAAAAUUUUUGUAAUUUUUAGUUUAGCCAAUCAAUACCAGAUUUUUCCUAAAUUUUCCCUUGUUUCACUGUUUGACUAAUCUAACCACUCUUUACUACAAAAUAAAUUUAUCAUUGUACAGAAUUCAAAACGUGUUCUUGUUUAUUUCAUUUGAAACUAGACUCAGUAAGGAGUCUAAGAAUAUAAAUUUUAUCAUAUGAUCAUUUUUAUACAUUUUAUACUGAUUUUAUAAAAACAGAACAGGGGAUCUAGAAGUCAUUUUGACUCUGUCCCACAUUACUUCAAAUAUCUCAUUAUUGGAAAUUCUUUUGCUUUUACAGUUUCUUUUAUAAGAAACUAGACUCAUCAAGCUUUAAUUACAUAAUUUAUUCAGCUUCUAACUCAACUUCCACAAUUUAUGGUGAUUUUCUAAAGUCACGUUACUGCUGCUGUCCCAAGCAGAUUAUUACCAAUUCACUCUUUCACACAUUCUUUGCAUACAUAUUAUUUAAACAUCUAUAUCACCAAUCAAUUUCAUCAUAUAUAUCUAUAAUUUCACUUAAGCAUAAUCUCAAUACAACAUAUUGUGCUCAAAUCAUUAUUCAAGUUCAAAUUCGGCUAACACACAUAUAAACACUAGCAACUAAAUAUUAACAUUUGCAUUUCACCAUAAUAACUAAUUUAGUAAACCUUAAUUUAACAUAUAAUUGUUCAUAACACAUUUAAAGCAUCCACUCCAUUCCAUCAAUUCAAAACACAUACAUUACUCAAUAUUAACCUAGCUCAUAUUCGGCCAUAGUACACAACAUGUUAGCCGAUUUUUCCCCUUUAGCAACUAAUGCACAUAUAUGCUCAUUUGUUAGACUCUACUGCACCUAUCUACAAAUUUUUCAUCCAAAAUAACAUGAAACAACAACCAUUUCCUUGAACACAUUCCUUAGCCGAAUACCCAUGUUACCAACAAAUUCAAAAUUUUGACAUGGCUAACUAAGGGACUUAGUAACUAGCUUAAUAUAUGCAACAAUUUCAAAAACUAUCAUGAAUUACAUACCUUAUUUCAAGCUCAAAGUGACCAAAUGCUAUUUCCUCCUUUUCUUUCUCUACCAUUCGGCUCCUAAGGAAGAAGAUGAUACAAGUCUUUUUGGUUAUCCUUUGUUUUUCUAAUAUCUUUUUAAUUUACUCAUUUUUUUAUUCCAUAAAUUAAGCCAUUUCCAUUUUACAAUAUUAUUUCAUAAUACAUAUUGCUUAUCAUCAUUAUCAUGGCCGGCCACUACUACUAAAGUGGGGAAUUUGACAUGCAAACCCACUAAUAUACAUCAUUAAUUAAUUGGCCACUACUAAAUUAGCCUAUAAUAUUUUCACAAUUUUUCAAAUAAGUCCUUUUUAAAUAAUUUCACUCACAAAUAGCAAUAUUAAAGCAUGAAAUUUUCAUACAUACACCUUCACAUAUAAUAAGCACAGAAUAUAGCAUUUAAUUAUUAUUUUGACUCGGUUUUAUGGUCCCUAAAUCACUUUCCGAUUAGGGUCAAAUUAGGGCUGUCACAGUGAAUGAUCAUAUCAAUUUGUUACAAAAGAGAUUAAAUGAUGUGGCAAAAGAAUGAGCAGCACCGGGCCAAGAUUUCUUUUAUCAUCUGGCAUAAAGAGAAAAAGAAAUUCAAAAUCUCAAGGAACAGAUCAAGGCACUCCAGAAAAUUGGGAAAAUUCUAGCACCAUCCCCAAUAUCAGAAACAAUUGAAUUAUUUCCUUUGAUCAGACAAAGGAACACCCUUCUAGUAGAAGGAGUUCAUAUCUCUUUUCUUAAAUUUUCACAAAGAACUAAACCAAGCACUUAUGAAGUGUUUCUGGAAAUUAAAAAACAAGAAGCAAAAAAAAAAAGAGUAAAAUGAAGCUGGAAAAACUGAGGCAGCAAAAAAGGAAGAAGCUCAUCAAGAAGAAAUUAAACUUGGCAAAAAACCAAUUGUGGACAAGUCACCUCCAAGAUCGCCUCCUCCAAAGCAAGCUUCAAAAUCCCUGAUGAUUCAACAAGAUCAAAAUCUUUUAACAAAAAUUUUUAAAGAUUAUAAUGAAGCCAUGAUUCUAAAAAUCUCAGCUUUACAACUUCAAUAUCAACAAUUAGAUUCUGAUACAGAUUAUUCAGAUUCCAAUUCAUCAUCAGAACCAGUAUCAGAAAAUCAAUCAGAAGAAGAGAAUCUUUCAAAGGUAUUACAAACUCAUCCAAAGGUAGAACAAUCAGAUGAUGAAGAGAUGCAAGAAGUACCAGACUCAUCUUCUUCACAACAACGUUCUACACAAAAACCCUCUAUUGGAAGAAUCAUUUUUACUCUUGAUGAUAUUCCACAAGGAAAAUGGCCAGAUAGGAUUCAAAAGUUCCAUUCUUGGCUUGAAACUCGCAAGCUCACUGAAGAUAGUAAUUACAACAUUCUCAUGGAGUUUGUUUCCAGAUUUAUGAGUAUGGUGCGAGAUUGGUGGAAUUUAAUUAGUCAACAUGAUCAAAUGCAAUUCUUGGUUCUUCAGGAUCUUGCUCAGCCAAUAUGAAUUAUCCAUCAUCACUUUGUGGGCAAUUGAGAUGAUAUUUUUACUCAAGAGAAGGGAAUUCCACAAGAGAAAAUGCUAUUCAUAUGACAGGAGAGAUCUAGCAAGGCACUUCAAAAUAAUGACUAAUUUAUUUUUGUGCCUUAAGUCUCAAUUCAAAUUUGAAGCCAGUAAUUUUCUCAUCCAUUCCAGAUCCUUUACAAGUUGAGUUAAUCAGGCUCUCCAAAGGCAAAAUAAAGAUAUUCUCUAAUUAACAAUUGGAGAAAUUCAGCAAGAAGUCUUUAUUGCCUUAGAAGACAUUUGUAACAGAAGAAAGAUAUUCAAGGAUUAUCUCCAUUGUGAUAAAAGAAUUGAUUGAGCAUGUGAUGAAUCCCACUUGAAGUAUAAGUGCCCAAGAGAUAAGAUAUGUGGCUGUCGUUCAAAGAAAAAGAGACAUUUCAAAAAAUAUUAUUUUCCAAAGAACACAAAAUGGAAAAGAAGAAAGAAGCCUCAAUGGAGAUAUCUCAGGAAAAAACGGAGAUCAACAAUAAAGUCUAACUGAUGCUACAUCUGCAAUAAAAAAGGACACUUCUCAAAAAAUUGUCCAAAGAACAAAAAAGGAGCAAAAAAGAUUGCACAGAUGGUUCAACAAACAAGAAUCAAAAUCCAAAAGGAAGAUGAUAUAGAAUCUGUCUAUUCUAUUGAAGAUGCCUGUUUGAAUGACCGAGAAGCAUGGUCUGUGUUUUUGUCAUAGCACACCUGCUACAAGUUCUUCUUUGUUGAAUCCCAUCCAAUAUCUUCACCAUUAUAUCACUUCCAUUACAUAAAAAAAAAAUACAACAUUAUGUAUAAUUAUUUAAGAAUCUAACAUUCUAUUUCAUUGCAAAAAUUUGACCCACCAUAUUAAAAAAUUUAUUAAUUUAUUAAUGUAUUUUUAAUAUAAUUAGUAAUUAUUAUUGUUAUUUUAAUUUUUUAUUUAAUUCAUUAUUAGUAAAAUUUUUAAACAUGUUUUGGAAACAUAUGUUAAAAAUUAGUUUAAAAAUAAAUAUUAUAAAAUUAAUGAUUUUGCAUAAUUAAAAAUUUUGAAAUUUUAUUAUUAGGGGAUAAGAUAAGCUUGGUUGUGUCACGUGAGACGUGGGCAUAUUGAAAACCUAAAAAAUAUAUUUUAUAAAAAUAUAAAAAUUAAUUAGUCGUACACGUGGCGCCCGUUUGAUAAAUAUAACGUCAAUGAUUACUUGGCGGGAACAUAAGUAGCUUCUCUGACGGGACCUGGAGCCUAUGGAUAAACGGCAUGUGGGAAUUAAAUAGUAAUUUGUUUGUGUAUAUUCAUCGAUGGUCCACACGCCUUUACCUACUGUUGGUGGGCUCCUCGUCAAAUCUUUUUUGCCGACACUGAUUAACGUUUAAUUAAACUCAGUAAUUACAUGAUAUUUUAAAAGAAAUUAAAAUACUGAAUAUUUUAAAUUAUAAAUAUAAUUAUACAAAUGAUUAUAUAUUUAUUUUUUAAAAACAUUUACCAUAAGCAUGUAAAGUUUGCUAAAUAUUAUUUUAAAAUUUUUUUAUGUAAUAAAAGGUCAACAUAAAUUAUGUUCUAUUUUUAUCAAAUAAAUUCAUUUACAUUUUAACAUAUAUGAGAUUAAAAAUAUAACAAUUUAUGUUUUAAAAAAGAAAAGUAAAAUGAUUUAGUGUAACUUUUUUUAUUUAUCAUCAAAUAAUUAUAUUUAAUGAAAGGUUUUUAAUCAAAUUUAAUUUUUUAUUAUGAAUUUGUUAAAUAUUAAUAAUAAAAAUUAAUUUUUAAAUAUUUACAUCCAAAUAACUAAUCAGAACUAAAAUUAUAAAUCACAAUUAUAUUGAUAAUUAAAAUAUAUUUAAAAUUAAAUUAAAUUAAAUCUGAAAAUCUAACCAUGAGGAGAUUCUUUUCAUAGCCAUAAUUAGUAGAAUAACUAAUUUUCAUUGGUUAAAUUUCAUCAACCACUUAAUUAACAAUAUAUUUAAUAUUUUUUUAUCGAUUAAGCUUUAAUUCAAUUAAUAUUAUUAUUGUUGUAACAUGUAAAAACAUAUAAUCAUUUUUUUAUAUUUGAAUUAUUGUCAGGAGCUAUGGAACAAACUAUUUUAGUAUUAUAAAUAUAUAUAAAUUGUGUUGAUGAAAUUGUUUUAACAAAAUAAUAAUUUGAAAAAUAAUAAGAAAUAAAUAAAUAGUAACAAUCACAACUACUACAUGAUAUAUAUUGGAGGUGCUCAUGGUCAGGUCGAGUCGAGCCAGACCUAAGCAUGAUAUUAAUAUACUUUAUGCUUAUCCAAGUCCCACCCGAAAAAUAGGCUUAAAAUUUUGCCCAAACCUGUCUAUAUUUGCAAAAGAUUAAUCAAAACUCAUUUUAGGCUUGUCCAUAUUAUAUUUUUAAAAAAUAUUUAUAUUAUAUUAUUUUAAUGUUAAUAUUUUUUUAUUGAAAUUUUUUACAUAGUAAUCUUAACAUUAUUUUAAUAUUUACAUUAGAAUAGUAUUAUAUAUUUAGUAUAGGGUUAUUUUUUUAAUGUGUUACAGAUUAUAUAAUAUAAAGUAUUACAAACUUAAAAACGGGUUAAGCUUGACUCAAGUCUUGAAUAUUCAAACCCGAAUCUAACUCAUAUUUUAAACAGGCCUAAUUUUUUCACCCGAACUCGUUUUUUGGACUUACAAUUUUUGCUCAAAACUUCUCAAAUUUCAGGCGGGCCUGGGUGAGUUUCCCGACCCAUUAACAUAUCUAAUAUAUACUAAGGAUUAUAAAAUAUAAUAUCCUUGAUUUUUUUUAGUAAAUAAAACUUUUUAUAUUAGUAUAUAAUUUAAUAAUAAUAAUUGUUGUGUCUUGUUGAUUUUUUUAAUACUUUUUACAUGAUUUAUUUUUGUGUAUAUAAAUUAAUAUAUAAUAUAAUUCUCUAAUUUUUUUUUGCUUGACGUAAACUACCAAAACGAAUCAUGUAUUGUUGUGUACUUUAGAUCUUACUUUCUUUUUUUCAACUAUGCCUCCUUUUUCGACAUAAAAUCAAAGGUUGGUAUAUUAUUGCCAAAUAUAUUUGGAUUAUUUGAUGCAUAGUAUAUAAAAUAAAAUAUUAUUAAUAAAUUGGAAAAAAAUUAUGUUAAUAAAAAUGAAUUUAAUUUUGAAUUCUUUUAUAUUCUUUAUUCGAUUUUUUAUUAGUGGAUAUAAUUAGUAUGUCAAAUAUAUCGCUUAAUAAUAGGUCGAACUACUUAUUGAAUCUUAAAAGUUCGUUUGAUAUUUGAGAAUAUUUGAAAAAUAAUAUCAGGCCUAAAAAUGAGAUUAAAUAAAAAAUUUUACUUAAAAUAAAAGUCGGACUUAAGACUCUAAUAUUCAAUGCGUGAACCUGUUAUGUAAUAUUAAUUUUUAUCAUAUGAAAAAUUGAAUAUAUUGUACUAUAAUGUAAAAAAUAAUAAAAAUAUGUUGAGUGGUUUAUAAUUUUGAAAUUUAAUUAAAAGUCAACUUUGCAUUUACUCAAUUAGAAACGACUAAAAAAUUAUUUUUUUUUACAAAGUAAACUAUAUUUAUUAUGAAAGUAUUUUUAUCUUUUUAUAUCAUUAUAUAAAGUAACUAAAUACUUAAAAUUGAUUAAAUAUUUAAACAAUUUAAUUAUUUUUAUUUAAAAUUUUAAUAAAUAUAUUAAUUACAUAAUUUUACCCAUAUCAUCGUUUAUAAGUACUAAAUAUUAAAUAAAAAAUACUUUUUAAAUAAAUUUAAAAAUAUGAAUACACUUAAACAAGUUUGGAUUAACUAUUUAAGUAUUCAGACAAAUUUGGAUAAUUUUUAAAACUUAUAUAUCGAGUCAAGUUGAACUUGAAUAACUAUGUAAACUAGUAAUUUGAUACAUUAGGUUAGGUAUGAAGCAACAUUUAAUCUAUAAACUUAACAACUUUUCUUACAUUGGUUCCCGAACUUUUUUAAAUCCACAUUAGUCCUAAACUUUGCAGUUUUUUUUUUAUUUCGGCCAUAAAUUUGGAUCCUAUUAAAAUAUAAUGAUGUGGCACUUUAAGAAAGUAACACAUUAUCACAUGAAAAAAAUUAAAAUAUUUAUUAAAAAUCUAAAAAUAUAUAUAUAUGAGAAGUUAAUAAUUGUUUUAAAAGAAUAGAUGAUGUUGUGAUGCAACUUCAAAAUGCUACAUCAUCAUAGUUUAAUAGAACCCAAGUUUAGGGGCUAACUUGGGAAAAACCGACAAAGAUUAAGAUAAUAUAAAUAAAUAAAAAGUUCAAGGAGUAAGGAAAAAUUAUCAAAUUGAGAAACUAAAUAUUACUUUAUCCCUUUAUAAAACAAAUUAUUUUAAACGAACUCAUGGUCGAACUAAUCGGCCACAAGUUCACUAGUCCAAUUAAAAAAUAUUAAAAGUUUUAAAAAAAAUUAAUUUAAUCGAUUCAUACCAACUCUCAAUCUAAUCGAUUUGAAACUAUUUUUGAAACAAAUAACUUAAUUAAUUUUCAGUCAGAACCGAUUCAAAUAUCUUUACAUUAAAUUAACCUAACUUGACUCCACUCGACCCAUAAAUAUUAAUUCUACAUUUUAAGAAUAAAUAAACAAAAUCCCAAAGCUACUUUCUUUUUAAAUGAAGUCUCACUUCCAUCAUUUCUUUUGUGGGCUCUUCAUAAAAGCCGAUUCUUUCUUCUUGAAUCCUCCAUAUAAAUUUAGUGGCCCAUAUAUUUUCCCGAGAUAUUAAAAAAAUAAAAAUCUUCUUCUUCCUCUUUGCAGCUAAAUCAUAUUCCGCAUAUUAUGUUAGCCCUUCAAAGCUCCGUCAACAAUGGCGAAAACGAUCCAAACCACGACCAACAUCACGAUCACGACGAUCAAGACGGUGAACGUAUCAGAGACAUCCAUGCUUUAACCCCACCACACCCUCCCGUCGUCAACGCCCGUCGUCGUUGGGAAACCAGAAGCAGCCGUGCAUCGUCAUCGAGCGAAGUAGCUCCGAGUGAAAACUUCACCACCAUAAGCCGAGAAUUCAAUGCUCUGGUCCUCGCCGGAUCUUCUAUAGAAAACAACGAUUCCGAUUCCGUACAUACUUUGAAUAACAAUCAGUUGACCAGGAUCGGUGAAGAUCAUGAACUGCAAGAGGAAACUAACCGUUUAGCUAUAGUACCCGAUAAUGGUCCGUACGAUCGAGAAUCGGAUCAGCCAAGAAGGGUAGGGUCGGGUGGGUUAGAAACAGCAACGACUGCGGCGGCGGCGAGUGGUGGUAGUAGCGGCGGACAUGGGGAAGUCACGGUGCUGAGAGUGAAGAAAGAGGAGGUGGAAUCGAAAAUAUGUGCUUGGCAAAACGCGAAGAUUGCAAAGAUUAAUAAUAGGUUCAAGAGAGAAGAUGCUAUAAUUAAAGGGUGGGAAAGUGAACAAGUACAAAAGGCUAGUUCUUGGAUGAAGAAAGUAGAGGUAUGUUUGGAUACUGAGAAUUUUUUUUUCUCAUCAUAUUUUCUCAUGAAAAUUUCUUUUAUCAAGGACUAAUUCAAAAUAAAUGAUAAUUUUAUGAGUUAGCAAAAAAAGAAAACCUUGCUAAGCUAGAAAAAAAUUGUAAGGGAAAGAUUAGAAUAGAACUAUAAUUUCUUUUCAAAGUUCAUAUUUUUGAAGAAAUUAAAUAGAAUUUUUUUAAUUUUUAGGAUGAAAAUGUAAUUUUAAUAUAUAUUAAUCAAACCAGUAUCUUUUCAUUUUAAGAGAGAAAAACAAAACUUAACAGAUUCUAUUUUUCAAAGUUCAUAUUUUUGAAGAAAUUAAAUAGAAUUUCUUUUUCAUUUUUAAGAUGAAAAUGUAAUAUAAUUAGCGUGAUUUAAACUUAAGUCACACUUGAAACAGUGAAUACAUUAAUCAUAGAACUAAAAUCUUAAAUUUAAGUUUUUAAUUGAUACCAAUUUUAAAUUUAACUGAAUUAAUGAUUUGAUGUAGUCUAAAUAAUUUUAUUGAGGAAAUUAUUGAGUAUUAAUUGAUGAUUCAAUUGACCAAGGUUCUUAGUUGCAUGGUAGGGAAUUUUCAUGGUAGUUUAAUAACAAAACUAUCUUCAUGUAAUAAUUAUCAUAUGUUAUUGAUUUUUUUAGUCAAAUUCUUAAUCAAGUCCCUAUGCUUUGUUUUUCUUAAAUUAUUAGUGGGAUAUCAUGAAUCAUGAUAAUGGUGGUAGUGGGUUUUUUUUUCCUUUGUCCUUACUUUAGGAGAUUUGCAACUUUAUUAGUGGAUAAAUUUAAAAGAGUACAUCAUUUAACAAUUUUCUCUCAUAAAAAAUAAGAAUAAAAAUCUAUCAUUAGCUUAGUUUGGAUUUAUCAAUUCGAGUUUAUUUUUAUCAAAUUAUGAACUAUUUUUAGUUAUAAGGCUCGAAUUUAAGAUUUUACUUAAAGAGUUAUUCUUUUUAUGGUACCUUAGUGGUUUUUUUCUUUUUGGGUUAUUUAAUUAUAAGUAUUUUUUUUUUGUUCACCAAACAAUAAAAAAUUACAAAAUGGUCAGCUAUUUAAUUUUGUCUUUUUUAUCACUCAAUUAUCUUUUAUUUUUAGGUGUUUUCACUUUUACAUUAACUAGAUAAUGACCAAAAAAGACAAAUAAGUAGUUGGAUGAUCAUUUAUAAAUUUUCAAAGUUGGGUGACCAAAAUAGAAAAAAAAAUUGUUGGGUGACAACAUAGUUUGAUGAACAUUUUCUAACAUUUUAUAGUCUAUAAAGGAGAAAAAAAAAAACCAUAGUUGAGAAUGUACUUUACCAUUCUUUUUAGCACUUAAUGGGAAGCCGAGGGGUAGGGAGGGUAGUAUGCAGCCUUGAUGAAAUGGUAAAAUUCAUCUUUAACCCCUCCAAAGUAUUAGUUGUUCAAUUUCAUCUCUUUUGUUCUCCUUAAUAUAUGAAAACUGCAAAUUUAACCCCUUUCAAAAGCUAAAAAUUCAAUGCAACUCAUUUUAAUACAAAAUUUUUUACUUUGGUUCCUGAAUAUUUUGAUUUUAUCUCAACUUCAGUGCACAAUUCCUAGUUUCGCUCGUGCAUUUAACAGGAUUAUACAUAUAUGAUAUUAACAUUGUAUAUACAUGCAUUCAUUCAUAGUAGUUUUACAUCAUUAUUUUGUAAUGGGAUUUUGAGUAACAGUCCCAAUAUGCAUAUGUGUGUAUAUAUAUAUACACAAAUGUGAAUCGGAUUUAUUUUCUCUAUAUAUUUGUAUAAGUAGAGGAAGCUAGAGGAGAAAAGAGCAAAAGCCCUAGAAAAGAUGCAAAACGACGUCGCAAAAGCACACAGAAAAGCAGAAGAAAGAAGGGCAUCAGCUGAGUCCAAGAGAGGGACCAAAGUUGCAAAAAUCCUUGAAAUUGCCAAUUUAAUGAGAGCUGUUGGGAGACCACCUGCUAAACGGUCCUUCUUUUAAAAAAAAAAACAACACUUUAAUCUUCCCUUCAUAUAAUUCCCAUUAUAUAUGCAUACAUAUAUACACAUACACAUACAUAUAUAUAUGAAUGCAUGUGAGUACCUUCAUCUUUUCAAUUGUAGGGUACCCCUUUUAUGUAAGAGGGCAUGCAAUCGAGAGUUGC
This 40073-nucleotide long non-coding RNA is filed under the name Gossypium barbadense (sea-island cotton). RNAcentral describes it as "long non-coding RNA (GBAR_LNC011019)". The record is from RNAcentral. Lineage: Eukaryota; Viridiplantae; Streptophyta; Magnoliopsida; Malvales; Malvaceae.